Molecule: unclassified non-coding RNA, 343 nt
Filed under: soil metagenome
Description: partial contains 5.8S ribosomal RNA, internal transcribed spacer 2, and large subunit ribosomal RNA
Rfam family: 5.8S ribosomal RNA (bases 1-120)
Source: RNAcentral
GAUGAAGAACGCAGCGAAAUGCGAUAAGUAAUGUGAAUUGCAGAAUUUAGUGAAUCAUCGAAUGUUUGAACGCACAUUGCGCCCGCUAGUAUUCUGGCGGGCAUGCCUGUCCGAGCGUCAUUUCAACCCUCAAGCCCCCGGGCUUGGUGUUGGGGAUCGGCGAGCCUCCGCGCCCGCCGUCCCCUAAAUCUAGUGGCGGUCUCGCUGUAGCUUCCUCUGCGUAGUAGCACACCUCGCACUGGGAAACAGCGCGGCCACGCCGUUAAACCCCCAACUUCUGAACGUUUGACCUCGGAUCAGGUAGGAAUACCCGCUGAACUUAAGCAUAUCAAUAAGCGGAGGA